RNAcentral lists this transfer RNA (72 nucleotides) under Ovis aries (sheep). It matches the Rfam family "tRNA". Rfam says of the family: Transfer RNA (tRNA) molecules are approximately 80 nucleotides in length. Their secondary structure includes four short double-helical elements and three loops (D, anti-codon, and T loops). Lineage: Eukaryota; Metazoa; Chordata; Mammalia; Artiodactyla; Bovidae. The record is from Rfam by way of RNAcentral.
UCCUUAGCGGCUCAGAUGGUAAAGAAUCUGCCUGCAAUGCAGGAGACCCAGGUUCGAUCCCUGGGUUGGGAA